AUUGAACGCUAACGGCGUGCUUAACACAUGCAAGUCGAGCGGCAGCAUGAUCUGUAGCAAUACAGAUUGAUGGCGAGCGGCGGACGGGUGAGUAACAUAUAGGAAUCUGCCUUGUAGUGGGGGAUAACCCGGGGAAACUCGGGCUAAUACCGCAUAAUCUCUACGGAGCAAAGUGGGGGACCGUAAGGCCUCACGCUAAAAGAUGAGCCUAUAUUGGAUUAGCUAGUUGGUGAGGUAAUGGCUCACCGAGGCGACGAUCCAUAGCUAGUCUGAGAGGAUGAUCAGCCACACUGGGACUGAGACACGGCCCAGACUCCUACGGGAGGCAGCAGUGGGGAAUAUUGGACAAUGGGCGCAAGCCUGAUCCAGCAACGCCGUGUGUGUGAAGAAGGCCUUCGGGUUGUAAAGCACUUUUAGUUGGGAAGAAAAGCUUAUGGUUAAUAACCAUGAGUGAUGACGUUACCAACAGAAAAAGCACUGGCUAACUCUGUGCCAGCAGCCGCGGUAA
This 508-nucleotide ribosomal RNA is filed under the name uncultured bacterium. RNAcentral's name for it is "partial 16S ribosomal RNA". It matches the Rfam family "Bacterial small subunit ribosomal RNA", at positions 30 to 523 of the family's 1533-position model. The record is from RNAcentral.